UGGGGCCUCUUUCCAGAACACUUCACACACCAGAGAUCCAUGGAUAUUUGAUUCUGUAUUUUGGUGCCUGCUAAGAAAUGGCUAUACAUUAUUUUCACGUGUGUCACAACAGGAUGGAGAGAUCUUCAAGUCUCAUGGCUGUCUCAGCACAUUUAUAACAUGGGAUUUUUAUAGGAGUCACCUCCAGGAAGGCAUGAUGAGCAGGAGCCUGUUGGACCUAGGAACUUGCAUCCUCUGAGCAGCUGCUCCUAAGCUUUGCUUCAGUGAGAGGAGAAAAUCACUGCAAGGCUUCCUUGAUUUCUCA
Molecule: long non-coding RNA, 304 nt
Filed under: Cyanistes caeruleus (blue tit)
Lineage: Eukaryota; Metazoa; Chordata; Aves; Passeriformes; Paridae
Description: lncRNA (ENSCCEG00000012205.1)
Source: RNAcentral